AUCCCAGAAUCGACUUCACUGUUAACGGGAUUUUGGCCACCUGAUGUUGCAGUAACAUUUUGAACAUAUGGUGAUUUUGUAGAUACUUCCCGCUUGAUGAUCUCGGCCUCAGAUAAACGGGUUUUUGGUCUGAGAGAAGUUCUGAGGUUGGCUGCUGCCGUCUUCUUCAUCCCAGAAUGGACUUCACUGUUAACGGGAUUUUGGCCACCUGAUGUUGCAUUAACAUUUUGAACAUAUGGUGAUUUUGUAGAUACUUCCCGCUUGAUGAUCUCAGCCUCAGAUAAACGGGUUUUUGGUCUGAGAGAAGUUCUGAGGUUGGCUGCUGCUGUCUUCUUCAUCCCGGAAUGGCCUUCACUGUUAACGGGAUUUUGGCCACCUGAUGUUGCAGUAACAUUUUGAACAUAUGGCGAUUUUGUAGAUACUUCCUGCUUGAUGAUCUCGGCCUCAGGGAUAUCUAACGA
RNAcentral lists this long non-coding RNA (461 nucleotides) under Citrus sinensis (sweet orange). RNAcentral describes it as "long non-coding RNA (CSIN_LNC002764)". Lineage: Eukaryota; Viridiplantae; Streptophyta; Magnoliopsida; Sapindales; Rutaceae. The record is from RNAcentral.